GUUUCGAUCAUGAGUUGAUCGAGAGGGUAUAUUGCUUGGCCGGUUAGCCAAGAGAGAUAUGGUUAUGGAGAUCUGAGAUGGUGAUGUAUCAGCAUUGUAUUAGUUUAUCUCAUUCUUAGUAGUUGCUUCAUCAUGGUAGUUGCUAAUUAAUUAACCUGUUGGCUAUGUUAUUGUCUUGCCUUGAUGUUUAUGGUUGUUGUGAGCUUGCAAGUACAUUCAAUGUACUGACCUGGCGUGUCAUGCCAGAUUGCAGGUGAUGACGUGAUUGCUUGAUUGCUUGUCGUGGUUUCCGUUCAUGCGAGCUAGAUCGUCUCCCAGCCAGAGUCCCUACGGAGUGGAGUUCACCACCUUCAUUGUUGUUCCGCAGCUAGAAGUUUUCCGCUGCUACGAGAUGUUCCGCUGCUAGCAUAGAGCAAUUGUAGUGUCGCAGGCAUAGUGUCGCCAUGCUGAUGUGAUCAUUGUAACAUCAGACCCGUGUAAUUAUUAUUCUUGUAAUGAGAGCUGAUUUGUUCUAUGUCAAGCAGUGCCGUAUUCCAAAGACUUCUCCUUGAUCUCUGGGCUGGAAUACGGGGUGUUCCGGUUUCUCUGAGCCGGAGUGCCACAGGCUUGGUAUCAGAGCAGGUCUGGCUGUAGGAUGCCCUAGUCAUCGUGAGCGGUAGAAACCGGUAGAAAUUGGUAGUUUAGAGUCUGGCGUGUUUAUUGCAUUUGGUUGCUGCAUUUGUUUGUUGCAUAGCAUGCAUGUAGCCUUAUUAUUUUGUUACUAACGGUUUAAUAUGGUGACUGUAGAUGGCAUCGGUCCGGAUCCACUACAGCCCAACUUUUGCAUUUCUCCAGUUUUCUUUUCAUGCUCAUUCUUCGAUGUUUGGCGUCAUUUCUGUCUCCAGCAGAGUGAUGCCCAGUGAUCCUGACAUUGUUUGCAAAAAUGGUGCUCAGGUAUCGCGCCGAAUUAUUUCCUUCAGCCCCACCUUUUGUGUCGGUGGUAGACAUGCUUCUAUCAUGGAUCAUCCUUCUUCUUGUCAUUUUGGCAACCCUUAAUGAUCAUAGUUAUCAAGAAAGGGCAAUGUCAGCAGCCUCAGUUUUUCCUCCCUAUCCUAUUCCUUCGACGCGUACGGGCCUUUUUCCGUCCACUUGAUAAUAAUGUGGUUGCGACUUCGUGUCCCACUAUAUGAUUACCGAAUGCAUCCUCGCCUCUGAGCAAGUCCAGGUUGCUACCUGGCUAAGCUAGCACUUGAUGUAGUGCUGCUUACACCAAUUUUUCCACACAUUUAUUUGUCCUCGUGGACAAUGUCACAGCAUGCUAGAUCGUAGAGCCGGAGAUCCCGCGAGAAUUGUGUGCUUAAGUAGGCAUGCAUAUUGUGUGACUAGCAGUAAUAUGUGACAUUGAUUGUGUGUGAAUUGAUUGUUCUUGUGUGUUUUUGUUUAGUUGAGUUUUCUUUUUCUUCUUUCUUUUUGGGCCCCGGUGUUACAUUAUUUUUUCCCCUAUAAAGAGUUGCUCAUCAACUGACACCGGACUUGAAGAAUUAAUAAGUAUUUCAAAUAUUUGGAAGAAGCUCAGCUAAACAUUAUGGCCUUCUCAGUCGACCGCAUGAUUUAAGGAAUAUCUGCCCAGAAUACCAAUUGUGUCUUGGAUUGAUUAUCCGCAUCAAUUCUAUAGCAGUAAUGAUCCAGCCAGCAGAAAGACAAGUCAGAUGCAAGACCAACGGUAUAUUUUUCAGUCAAAGGUAUGGAUCAUAGGAAAUGUUUUGGCUCACCAAUAUAUGGUACUUGAAAUAUGUUAUACUCCAAGAGAAAGUCAGGAUGUGAUAUGCUCAAGGAAGACAGUCAAACAAAUUUUUUUCAUGCAAAUAAUCAGCCGCAAAAUAUUAUGGAAGUGUGCAUGGAUUUCAGUCUGCAUAUCGGUACGAAGUUUGGACAUAAGAAACCUAGCAUUAUUCCACACGCUAUUGGAAGAAAUUUAUGAGGCAAGGCUCCUCAAAUUUUUCCUCAGCAUGAUAUGUGAAUAAUUUCUGGUCCAUGAUAUCCGGUCUUUCUCAACAAGAUACCUCAGUAAAAGCUUCCGACAGGCGGGAAAUGAAUUUUUCCCAACAAGCAAAACCGAGGAGAAGCUUCUCAAGUACGGAAACCCGGCUUCUCCUGCACACUACUCAGGUCAAGCUUUGUGUGUAAGCUAUCAAGGCUUCUUCUGCAUGCUACCUAGACAAAAGCUUCGAGUAGAAGCUAAUGAGUCUUCCUCAGCAAGCUACUUGGAUGGCUAACCUCGUAAGCCACCCAGUCCGCAUCAAUACCACACUAUGCACCAUCCUCAGAGAUUAUAUGAUGAGUUGGCAGUAUAUGGCAGUACAUCUCAAGGAUCAGAUUUGCAAUGAUUUUGUUAGAGGAACAAUUCAGUCAAAACAUACGCCUGCCGCAAUAAUAUGUUAUUCAGUUGCAUAUGAUUGGUACGCAUGUAUCCCGAGUCAGAUCGAUCACUUAUGCGGGAUAUGACACCACUCCAGCAGAUAUACCUAAGAAAGCAAUGAGCUCCGUACGGCUACAAACCCCGAGUAUAUGUCAUAUAUGUGCGAACACAGGUCAGAAAAACAAGCACAAGGAAUAAUGUCAAAAAUAUUAACCACAUCCAUGGUCAUACAAAGAAUCAAGGACAUGUGUGGCCAAGUUAUUUCAGCAAGGUAUCCUGACAAAGAAAAUCAUGACCGUUAAACGGUGAGACUGACAGCAAAGGUAUGAUGUAUUUUACACGACCAUCAGGGUCUGGAUACCCAAAUCAGUUGGAUGCCAUAAUUCCAUAUGGAUCCACAAAGACAUACACCUUCAGCGGCCUACUCUAUUUACAAGGAUUUUCAUAUCAUGCUGACCCGCUUGAUAUGGUUAGUGUGGAAUAUCCAAGUCUGUUCUAUCAGAUCCAAGAUUCCUUUGCAACCUCAACAGUUUGACCUCAAGGGCAGAGUUAAAACAUAUCACAGCAUAUUGUCAAAAAUGGGUAUACCAACAAGAUGAGAAAGUCAAAAGCCGAAUAAUCAGCUCAGACCUGGUAUACUCACCAACGGGAUCUAGUACACGGUUAGUCUAUUAGGGAAAGCAUUCAUCUGUCAGCCCCUAUCGGCAAAGUCUCAAGAUAUAAAUAUUUGAGGUAUGACAUAGCUAUAACUCCAUGCACCGCUAUAUUGCUCACGACAGAAGGCAGUCAAACCUCUAGUGUAUGCCACAUGUUCGAGCCAAAGGAAAUAAAACAACAUAAAUCGGUGCACCUAUAAGUAGUUAGAUCCCGUCAGAAGAUGGCCAUGAUUAAUUCUAAGCAUUUAUUGAACCCAGAAGGCUUGCAUUUAUUUGAAGCAACCCCAUUACAGAAAUAAAAAGGUUCGUGACAAAAGGAAAUUUAUGCUCAGAUCCGUUGGGCAUCACAGCAGAUAUGAUAAAAUCAACAUCAGCAACAGGAAUUGGUAUAUGAGCAAAGACCCAUCAAAAUUUGGGAAAAACCACCCCACAGCAAGGUAAGUUAAUCAUCUGAAAUUCUUGGGGGAACAAUAAAUAAAAGAAAAUGGAUGCCCAAGUUGAAAACGGUAUCCUCAAGUCAUACUUGUUACCAAAGUAACUAAAUAUCGAGGACGAGAUUUCUUUAAGGGGGUAAGAGUUGUAACAGCCUGGAUUUUGGCCCUUUUCUUUUUCUUUUUGACUUAUUGGCUUUUGCUCUGUUUUUCUUUUUGGAGUGGUUCUGUGGCCUGGUCACCUGGGAAAUCAUCCUCAUUUCCCUCCCAAGUGGCUCAUCAUUCUCAAAACCUUGCAAAGAUCAAUUCACUUCACUCCUUGACCAAACCCUAAAAUGUUUUUCUCAGGAAUAUUCCUUUUUCUAUUAAAGGAAUAACCCUGUUUGCCCUAGGUUGUGAAGCAACCUUUAUUUCCAUCACUCCUAAAAUUCCCAAAUAAUUCUCAUAAAUUGUUUGGGUCAUAUAUUUCUCAAAUAUGGCAAAAUAUUUCAUUUUUCAUGUUUAUCCUGUUGCUCAAUUAAUUCAUUUCCUAUUCUGCCCUAAAUGGCACAUUGAGAAGCAAGUGCUAUUUUCCUUUGCCCAAUUUACCUAAAACUCCUUGGACCCCUUUUCCUGUCCAUAUCAUUGCCACAUGCCAAAGUGCAACCUCAUUUUCCUAGUAAUUAUUUAAUUAUGAUUUUCCAUAGUUCCUGUCUGAGGGAAGUGGUUGUGAAGGAAGUACAAGCUAGGCAUAUCCAAAUGAGUUGCCCUUUUCCAUGAUCCCUCAUAUCAUCAUAUCAUAGCCCUUUACCAAAGUAGAGCUCAUGUCAUGCCUCCAUGUGAGCUCACGUUCAAUUCUUUGAUGCUGCCCAAAAUUUCAGUUUGUGAAGCAAGUAUAUUUUAUCUUGCUCCAUUAUGGCUGCCAAUUUUUCUAGGCCUUCUAUUAUCCAUAUAACCUACCUCAACCCAUUUUGGGCAGGUUUCAUCAAGCCAUUUUUCCUCUAGAAGUUUUGCAAGUUUUUGGUUAGCAAGGAUGUUGGUGAAGCAAGUACCAUUUUGGUGAAUCCAAUUGGUAUGAAACUUAUACAACAUCUUUAUAUGAUCAAAUCAUGAAGCCUUGCCAAAAUUGAGCUCAAGUGGCCACACCAUUUGAGUGCAUCAUCCAAAUCUCAUUUCUGGACCAUUUUGGUCAGUUGCAAAGCAACUAUGAUUAAACUUGAUCCAAUUCUUCUCCAAGUUACCAGGAUGAAAGUACUUCUUUACCACAACCCCGCAGACAACUCCAUUGCUCCCACAACCUUUUCUAUUGGUCAGUAGUUCUCAAUCAAGUUUACUGCAGUAAACUUCAGAGGUUGCUUACCUUUUAACCAGAGCCGUUUUCACCGAACUACCACCACGGUUGCAACCUCCCCUGGAUGGACUACACCCUAGACAACGUUUGCCCACCCUUGGCAUCUUCUCCUCGCCAGUCUGCACGGUGACCACUGACUUGGCAUGCAGUGCGCGCGUCCAGAAUGGCUUCUUGCUCGGGCCCCUCCUCUGCUCGGCGUCUCAGCGAGCAUGAGCAUGUCAAACUGUUUUACCAUGUCGUCGCCCUCUUCCUGGACCUCUUUCCCCCUCCGUAAAAGCCCUCGCCGACGCUCACCGACGCUCGCCCAUGGGUGCACUGUGGCCGACCGAGCUUUAAUGGUGCUCGACUUCUUCCUCUGCUCCCCAGCGUCGUCUACCUCUCCGUGAUCCCUGCAUUAAUAGCUCGUCGCCUUCCCAAGCCCUCCCCGUGCCUCUGCUCGCGUGUAGCGACCAGACCUCAAACAGUCCGAUCUCUGUGCUUCAGUGUCAUCCCUGGAUCAGUAAUGCUGACAUGCACAGUACUUGAAGGAUUUAUAACAGAGUAGCAAUCACACACUAAUUACAUCGAAUGUCUCAAAAGAGAACUUAUUAGUAUAAAUAUGGCUUAAGGCCAUCUAAUAACUAUAACAACGAAAGGCUUGGAAGAUAAGUGAGUCCAUCAACUCCACCGGCAUCACUGAGUAUAGAACCACGACCUAAAGGCACCUUACUCGUUGUCUGAAAAGUCUGCAACAUGAACGUUGCAGCCCGAAAACGGGUCAGCACAUGGAAUAUGCUGGCAAUGUAACACAUGGAGAAUAGUGAACAUAAUAGGCUAUACUACAUGCAUAUAUGGCUGGUGGAAAGCUCUAUGGUUAUAGUUGUGCAUAAAGCCAGUUUUUCCCUACUGCAAAGGAAUACAUUUUAUUUAACUAUCAUGGUGGUUGUUAAACAUUGAGAGUGUAGAUGCCCUCUCAAUCCCAAUUAAACAUCAACAUUAAAACCCAACAAAAUUCAUUAAAGUCACAUGAUGAGAUUCACAUGAUAAUCCAAGUACUAGAUACUCAAAACUGUCCAUAACCGGGGACACAUCUAACCAUGAUUAGUUUAUACACUCUGCAAAGGUUUGCGCACUUUUCCCCACAAGACUCGAUCUCCUCCGUUGGGAUUCUCGCACUACAUGGUGUUUGAGAAAACGGGUGACCGAGACAUAGUCUUUAAGAAGCGCUAGCACCUUACGAUCGGGAAGACCGUUACACCUACUUUCCCCUACAUCUGCUAGUCUACCAUUGUAAGAGUUCACACGAAUUAAUCAACUAUGCUAGAGCCCAUUGUCAGUGUCAAAACCGGCGGAUCUUGGGUAGGGGGUCCCGAACUGUGCGUCUAGGAUGGAUGGUAACAUGAGGCAAGGGACACGAAGUUUUACCCAGGUUCGGGCCCUCUCGAUGGAGGUAAAACCCUACGUCCUGCUUGAUUAAUAUUAAUGAUAUGGGUAGUACAAGAGAUCGGAGAGGCUAAACCCUAGAAGCUAGCCUAUGGUAUGAUUGUUGUUUUGUAUGUUGUCCUAUGGACUAAAACCCUCCGGUUUAUAUAGACACCGGAGAGGGUUAGUGUUACACAAAGUCGGUUACAAUGGUAGGAGAUCUACAUAUCCGUAUCACCAAGCUUGCCUUCCACGCCAAGGAAAGUCCCUUCCGGACACGGGGCGAAGUCUUCAAUCUUGUAUCUUCAUAGUCCAGGAGUCCCGCUGAAGGUAUAGUCCGGCUAUCCGAACACCCCCUAAUCCAGGACUCCCUCAGUAGCCCCUGAACCAGGCUUCAAUGACGACGAGUCCGGCGGGCGGAUUGUCUUCGGCAUUGCAAGGCGGGUUCCUCCUCCAAGUACUUCAUAGAAGAUUUUGAACACAAAGAUAGUGUCCGGCUUUGCAAAAUAAGUUUCCACAUAUUGCCAUAGAGAGAAUAAUAUUUACACAAAUCUAAUAUGCUGACGUAUUCUGUAGUGUGACACACCACGGCCAAGCCUUUAUCCCACCUCAGCGCGUCAUGCGAGGCGGUUUCCUUGGCACGUCUUGUUAAAGCAGAGAUCGUGUCCUCUUAUUCUAGGAUUCUCAUCAAUACGGGCGUGGGUAACCCAACCGUGCCAUUGAUUACGGCGCUUGGAGAUAAGCGAGUUUUACCAGGCUGGUGGGGACACGUAGUUGCGUCCACCCAUAUAAGGGCAUAAGGAUCCACCUUUUCACCUACGCCUUCUUCCUCCCUUGCUUAUCCAUUCUCGCACACUCGAGCUCCAGCGCCCAAGUCCGCACUCCCCACCUCAACCUUCUCCAGCCAUGUCCGGAGCGGGAGGCAAGUGGAUGGUCUCCUCCGUCAUGGAGGGACACAUCAAAAAACUGAGGAAGGCCGGAUACUUGUCUAACGACAUCGCGUACCGGCUUCCUGAAAAGGGGCAGCUCAUCCCCACCCCUAGGCCCCAUGAGAGGGUGGCGUUCCUCCCCCAUUUCCUCUGCGGACUAGGCUUCCCUCUUUACCCAUUUGUCCGGGGGCUCAUGUUCUACUAUGGCCUGGAUUUCCACGAUCUGGCCCCAAACUUUGUCCUCAACAUCUUGGUGUUUAUCGUCGUGUGCGAGGCUUUCCUCCGCAUCCGCCCCCAUUUCGGCCUAUGGCUCAAGACUUUCAAUGUCAAGCCGAAGGUGGUGCGCGGCAACCAGGCGGAGUGCGGAGGCGCCAUGAUGGGCAAGAUGCCCAACGUCUUAUGGCUCGAGGGCUCCUUUGUGGAGACCCUGAAGGGGUGGCAAUCGGGGUGGUUUUACAUCAUCGAGCUGCGCGACCCCGAAUGGCUCGCAGCCCCCGAGUUUCGAUCCGGACCCCCUACGCGGCUCACCUCCUGGAAGGAGACGGGCCUGUCGUGGGGUAAGAAAGGAGAGCUGACCAGACUCCAAACAUGCAUCCAAACCCUGGUGGGCAAGAAGCUCAAACUUGUCAACGUAGUCCAGGUUAUGCUCAUCCGCCUGAUCCUCCCGUGUCAACAAAGGGCUUUCAACCUGUGGGAGUUCGACCCGAUGCGGCACCGAACUCUGAGCAGGCUCUUCGACACGACGUACGAAGAUGCCUGGAAGGUGCUUUUCAAGGGCGCCGAGGCCCCCGCAUCCGCUGGCGAGGAUCACGGAUUCAGUACGCAGCGUCACGCUCAUGCGGUAAGCUGUUUUUUCCUUUUACAAGGUAUCAGUUUUUCAUAGUUUGACUCCAUGCGUGAUCUAAGCUUUGAUCAACUGUCCGGCUCCUUUGCCCGAAGGCCCAGCGGACGCUCGCUUGGCGAAGCUGCUGGUUCCGACACCACAUAGGGUGCCAGAGAAGAAGGCGGUGAAAAAGGCCACGGGGACUCGAAAGAGUGCCCGGCGCCAGGAGGUGUCGGAUCCAUCAUCCGACGGUUCUGAGGCGCAUUCCUCCUGUGAAGACGAGGAGGAAGAAGAAGAGACCUCUGCCCCUCCAGCGGGAGGAGAGAAGAGGCCACCCUCUCUGGGGAGGCCAAAGGGUCCAAGAAGGGGAAAACCCUUGCUCCGGACUACUUCACCGACGCCGACGACGGCGGAGACGAGUGGCCGCCCAGGGCCAAGCCCCUGGCUAAAUCGUAAGUAUCCGGAUACCAGAGUAAUUCAUAGUAUUCGUUUAUUGCAAAACUUUCCCUUAUGUCGAAUAUGUCUAUGCAGCCCACCCAAAGACCGGCUCGACGCAUCGUCGAGCGGCUCACUGGACUUGUCGGAUGUGAACUCGCUUCCGACGGCUUCCUCCCCCUGUCCUACGGACGACACCGAAGUGUUGUCCCAACAGGUUCCAAGCUGGGAGGAAGUGGUCCUGGAGGCGCCGCAAGGCGACCUCCCGGACUCCAAGAGUAAAGGGGAUGAAACCCCCCAGGGCUCCAAGUCCGGCUCUAGGCCGGACACCGCUCCAGAACCUUCAAAGGUUCCAGAGUCCGGCGGGGGACCUCCUUCCGAGAGGAGCAAGCCCACUGUGACGGUCACCCCCGUCCAACCGGAGGCGCCAGACAAUCUGUUGGGGGCACUCCAAGGCACCUCCAUCGACGAGGAGCACCGCACCAUUAUGAGUGCGGUGGUCCAGAAGGUUCAGUCUGCCAAGAGCAGACUGACUGAAGCUUGUACUAGCCUUUUAACAGGCUUUGAGGUAAGUAAAGAAUGUGUAAAUAAUAUUACCGCAUAGACAGUAGCGCCUGAUGCUCUGUUUGGCGUUCAGGAAGAAAAGCCGAAUAGAGGAUCAAAUAAAAUUCACAGGAGUCUAACAAAAAGGAGUCAAUAUGCGUAUGCAGGAUUCUCUGCUUGCAUCCGCCGCAUUGACUGCGGAAGUGGACACGCUAAAGCAGAACCUCGAGCGGUCUGAGCAAGAGCUCGGGCGUGCCAAGAAGCAACUCGAGGACAAUGAAGGUAAGAAAUACCUUGUUUAAAUAUAUAUAUAAAGGUGCAAUUGCAAAAAAUGACAGGAUUAUCGUGGCUUCUGUAGGGGCCACGUCUGAGGUGGCGACCCUUAAGCAAGCGCUGGUCGAGGCCGAGAAGAGGGCAGCCACGGAGCACACCGAGCAGGAGGAGUAUGAGGCCGAGGUUGGCAAGGUGCGGCAAGAGCUCCAGGCUCUCAUGGAAAACAUGAGAGUUUGGAGCUUGACUCAAAGACGCGAGCGUCCGAGCUCGCGGUGGCUAUUGAAAAUGCCAAGUCUGCCAAGGCCGAAUCCCAGAACACCCUCCAGGAGUUGUAUGAGGUGAAGAAGAUAGCAGCGGGUAAGGCAUUCUUUAUGCAAAGAAAACACAUAAACAUGAGUUACUUGUUACUUACCCGAAUCCGGAGCUCUCCAGGAGCGUUCGUAGAUCUUCCCCGGAGUGUGUCUGAUGCCGCCGCAUUCUAUCGAGCCGAGGAGGGCAGCUCGACAGAGAAGGUGUUCUGGUCUCAGUAUGCUGAGGCCGAACACCCCGUGCUUCUGAGCGACCAGCUGAAGCAACUGGUCGAGCUCCACAAGGCGGCCGAACAGGCCAUGAAGGGCCUCAUAGUUUGGCUGUGGCCUGGAGAGGCUCUGCCUGGGAGCUAUUUCGGGCUGGUGCGGCGGCUGGUGGAGGCCUAUCCAAGGCUCGAAGUCAUCAAGCGCUCCGUCUGCAUUGAAGGUGCCCGUAGGGCCCUUUCCCGUGCGAAGGUGCACUGGGGCAAGCUGGAUAUUGAAAAGCUUGUGAAGGACGGGCCACCGCCGGGGAAAGAGCAUCGCAAGCCCGAGAAUUAUUAUAAGAAUGUUCUGAAGGGUGCCUGCCUUAUGGCGGAUGAAUGUUCUAGGGAUGUAAUUUUUGAGUGAAACUUGCUCGUUUUGUCCCGUGCGCUGAAAAAUUGUUCAUAUGAGCUAAGCAAUGUUGUUGGAAUUUAAAAUAUUACCUUCUAUGCAGUUGUUUAUCAAUUCUGAGAGAUGGCGAGUCGUCAGCUUCUACCCCCGUGCCGCUAGUGCUGGGGUGUUCUGGGAUAAACCUGAGCGCUCUUUUUCCCAUGUUUGGGUCCUUCGAGGGAGGCGCUCAGCCCAACGAACAAGGCAAUCGGACUAUAAUGUGUGAACACUCUCACUUAGCCAUAGAAUUCUAUAAUUUUAACUUUCGGCGAAGCCCCUGGUAUUAGGAAGACCGAGUUCGGGGCGCUAUCCAUGCCUUGGACGGACAGAGCCGACUCCUCGCUCUAAGCGGCAUAAGUCUUUAGGGACUCGAAAACCUCUCGAACAGUGACCAUCUCUCGCUUCAUCAUGACAGUCAGUUUUAGCUUUCUCCACUGAGGUGCUCGACCCAGCUCAACUGGGGUACAAUCGCAGUGGUUCUCCUAGUGCUACCUUAGCCGAUAUAGCGGAACGUAAGGCACCAAAACAUAGGAGCCGGGCAAACCCAACUAUUGACCCAAGACAUGAUUCGGAGCCGAUGCAUAUAAUGCUAUAAGUUCGGGGUGCCGCACUUGUUAAAGUGUUCGGACUUCUCACACCAUAUUGAUGGGUACUAAAGCCCCUGGCGUAUUUUGGCCGUACCAAAGUGUACGGGUGCAACAUGUCGUUGAGGAACAUAUAAAAAAAGAGUAAUGCAAAAAUAGACAAAAGCUAUGCAUUGUUUAUUAAAGAGGGCUGCGAUCAAAGCAGAACGAUACAAAUAAUGCGAUAAGCAAAAGGUUGGACUAUGUAACAUGUCCGUUCUAGGGGCAAGCUGCGGAAUAGUAUGCAAAACAGGUAUACUGCUCGUGAUAGAGACCACCUGGGAGUUCCGUAAUGCGGCGUGGCUUGUCUGCUUCCCUGGUUCUUGCAUCGUUUGUGCGGCAAUUAAACUGCCGAACAUGCCUUCCGAAGAGUGGAGUCCUGAAAGUAUGAGAAAAUUAAAAAAUCGGCAGCCCCUGGUGCAGUUUAAGCCAUGUUUCGGGCGUGCCGUGAUGGUGCCCCUCCCCCUGUACCCAUGGUAUUUCUAGAGUGUAGUUAUGUACGCGAAGUACUGGUGUCGCAUUUUUGCGAGGGCUGGGGUUGGGGCCGCAUUGCUACGCCUGCUCGGAUCGUGCCAGGCGGUCUUGUUGUAGGUUACUCCGGGCACGCUUGACGGUGUCCGGUCGUUUAAUGGCCGGACUGGAGAACUGCCUGGAGAGGCUGCUUUGUACUUCCGCUGCAAGGGCCUCCGUGUGCUCCUCCAUUCGGAGGGAGCGUUCGGUGUUUCCAUUGACCGUAAUUACUCCUCGAGGGCCUGGCAUUUUGAGCUUAAGGUAUGCGUAGUGCGGUACCGCAUUGAACUUGGCGAAUGCGGUUCGCCCGAGCAGUGCGGGAUAGCCACUGUGGAAUGGGACUAUGUCGAAGAUUAACUCCUCGCUUCGGAAAUUAUCCAGAGAUCCGAAGACCACUUCAUGUGUGACUGAGCCUAUACAGUUGGCCUCUACACCUGGUAUUACGCCUUUAAAGGUCGUUUUUGUGGGCUUAAUCCUCGAGGGAUCUAUGCCCAUUUUCCGCACUGUAUCCUGGUAAAGCAGGUUCAGGCUGCUGCCGCCGUCCAUAAGGACUCUAGUGAGAUGAAAUCCAUCAAUAAUUGGGUCUAGAACCAAUGCGGUGAAUCCGCCAUGACGGAUGCUAGUGGGGUGGUCCCUUCGAUCAAAGGUGAUCGGGCAGGAGGACCAUGGGUUGAACUUUGGGGUGACUGGCUCUACCGCGUAUACAUCCCUUAAUGCGCGCUUCCGCUCCCUUUUGGGGACGUGGGUUGCGUAUAUCAUGUUCACCGUCCGCAAUUGUUGGGGGAAACCCUUCUGUCCACUGUUGUUCGGCGGCCGGGGCUCCUCAUUGUCAUCGCUAUGCAGCCCCUUGUCUUCAUUUUCGGCAUUUAACUUGCCUGCCUGCUUGAACACCCAACAAUCCCUGUUGGUGUGAUUGGCCGGCUUUUCGGGGGUGCCAUGUAUCUGGCACAAGUGGUCGAGUAUUCGGUCCAAACUGGACGGGCCCCUAGGAUUCCUUUUGAAUGGAUUUUUCCGCUGACCGGAUUUAGAACCUUUGAAUCCGGCAUUAACUGCCGUACCCUCAGCAUUGUCACUGUUAAUGCGGCGCUUCUGCUUGUUGCGACGCGACCUGCCAAUACUAUCCCUGAUAUCUGAAUUACCAGGGUUCUUGGUCAUAUUGUUGCUAUGAGCAAGCCAGCUGUCUUCUCCCGCGCAAAAGCGGGUCAUGAGUGUCGUGAGUGCUGCCAUAGACUUCGGCUUUUCCUGUCCAAGGUGCCGGGCAAGCCACUCGUCACGGAUAUUGUGCUUGAAGGCUGCUAGGGCCUCAGCGUCCGGACAGUCGACUAUUUGAUUUUUCUUUGUUAGGAACUGUGUCCAGAAUUGCCUGGCCGAUUCCCCUAGCUGCUGAAUUACGUGACUUAGGUCAUCAGCGUCUAGGGGUCGCACAUAAGUGCCCUGGAAAUUGUCGAGGAAUGCGGCUUCCAGGUCCUCCCAACAACUGAUUGAUCCUGUUUGCAAGAUGUUAAGCCAAUGCCGAUCUGGUCCUUUAAGCUCGAGUGGGAGGUAUUUGAUGGCGUGGAAAUCAUCGCCGCGGGCCAUGUGGAUAUGAAGGAGAUAAUCCUCGAUCCAUACCGCAGGAUUUGUUGUGCCAUCAUAUGAUUCGAUGUUUACAGGUUUGAAACCCUCGGGGAUUUGAUGAUCCAUUAUUUCGCCUGUGAAGCAUAGUGGGUGUGUGGCGCCUCUGUACUGGGCUAUAUCACGACGUAGCUCCAAUGAGCUUUGUCUACUGUGUUCGGCCCUACCGAAUUUGUGGCCGGCGUGACGGUUACCGCCUCGAGCCGUGGGGCACCCACGCGAUCCGUAGAUCAAUCUUGUUUGCCUUGCCUUGUCCUCCAACAUAUCUCGUAAGUUCGGCGCAUAUUCCCGUGCCUUGGUAUGGGGUCCGGCUUGAGUGGAGGGCCGAGAGGCCUCUCUGUCGCGGCCACGAGGUGGCCGGUCGGCCGCAUCAAGUGCUUCCUCCUCUAAUCGGGGUAGCAACCUGCGCUUUGGGUAGCUCUUGGAGGGGUGUUCGAGUUUAUGCUCUUCUGCCGCAAGGACUUCAGUCCAUCUGUCGACUAGCAAAUCUUGAUCAGCUCUAAGCUGUUGCUGUUUUUUCUUGAGGCUUCUUGCUGUGGCCAUAAGCCUGUGUUGAAAACGCUCUUGCUCGACGGGAUCCUCUGGCACAACAAAUUCGUCAUCGUCGAGGCUUGCCUCGUCUUCGGAGGGAGGCAUAUAAUUAUCGUCCUCGACCUCUCUGUCUGCCGCUCUCUCAUGAGGGCUGGUUUCUCCAUCCUCCUGUGCUAAAUCUUGCUGGAGGGGGGUUUCUUUGGCACUUUCUGGAGUAUUAUUAUCUCCCGUGCUGGAAUCAUCGUAUUUGUUUUGGCGGGAUUUUGAGCGGCGCUGCUGACGCCGGCGCUUAGGCUGUUUCUUGGAGGCAUCAUCCUCCGCUGUUCCAUCGCCAUCUCCUUCUUUUGGGGUGUCCACCAUGUAUAUGUCAUAUGACGAGGUGGCUUUCCAGGGCCUGAUAGGCGCUGGUUCUACAUCGUCUCCUUCAUCGGCGUCCAUACCGUCGAUGUCUUCGUAGUCGAAGUCGAGCAUGUCGGUUAAAUCGUCGACAGUGGCUACAAAGUGGGUGGUGGGUGGGCUUUGAAUUUCUUCAUCGUCCGUAUCCCAACCUUGCUGACUGUAGUCUGGCCAGGGCUAUCCUGAUAAAGAGAGAGACUUCAGUGUCUUUAGAACAUCGCCGAAAGGCGAGUGCUGAAAGAUGUCCGCGGCAGUAAACUCCAUGAUCGGCGCCCAAUCGGAUUCGAUUGGCAGGGGCACGGAGGGUUCGGAGUCCGGAGAGGAGUCCGGCUCCUUGGAGUCAUGAGUCUCGCAGAGUGCGGGGCUGGUGUUCGGCUUGAUCGCCGUUGGGAUCGCAGCCCCCGAGGUGGCGUCCAACCACCCAUCCUCGAUCGGCGCAGUUGGCUCUGAAUUAAGGGUCGAAGCCGAUGCGGGUGCGGCCUCCAGGGCACUGUUCGGCGGCAGAGCUAGAUCAUGCUCGUCGUGACAGUGCGGCGCGCUCGGCAGUGGCUCGAAUCCGUGGAAGAUCAAGUCCCCGCGGAUGUCAGCCGUGUAGUUUAAGCUUCCAAAUCUGACCUGACGGCCAGGGGCAUAGCUUUCGAUCUGCUCCAUAUGGCCAAGUGAAUUGGCCCGCAGUGCGAAGCCGCCGAAGACGAAGAUCUGUCCGGAGAGGAAGGUCUCACCCUGGACUGCAUCACCAUUGAUGAUCGUAGGAGCCAUCAAGCCUGAUGGCAACGACACAGAGGAACUAUCAAUGAAAGCACCAAUGUCGGUGUAAAAACCGGCGGAUCUCGGGUAGGGGGUCCCAAACUAUGCGUCUAGGCCGGAUGGUAAUAGGAGGCAAGGGACACGAAGUUUUACCCAGGUUCGGGCCCUCUCGAUGGAGGUAAAACCCUACGUCCUGGUUGAUUAAUAUUGACGAUAUGGGUAGUACAAGAGUAGAUCUACCAUGAGAUCGGAGAGGCUAAACCCUAGAAGCUAGCCUAUGGUAUGAUUGUUGUUCUGAAUGUUGUCCUACGGACUAAAACCCUCCGGUUUAUAUAGACACCGGAGAGGGUUAGGGUUACACAAAGUCGGUCACAAUGGUAGGAGAUCUACAUAUCUGUAUCACCAAGCUUGCCUUCCACGCCAAGGAAAGUCCCUUCCGGACACGGGACGAAGUCUUCAAUCUUGUAUCUUCAUAGUCCAGGAGUCCGGCUGAAGAUAUAGUCUGGCUAUCCGAACACCCCCUAAUCCAGGACUCCCUCACCCAUAGUGGCUUGUGGCUGCACACGGAAGUUUCUAGCAUGAAUAAUCUCAUUAUCCCUUUGAGCCUGGGUGGCGGUCCAUAAAGAAAAACAGGCAAUCGCUGGAAUACCCAGGUGCCUCAAUCUACCCAGAUGUCUAUUUAAGUUGCCACCUUAAGUUGAACCAUUAAUUAACAAUCUCACAUCUGUCAUGGAUACACUCAAACCCAAUCCACGUCUACAAGCAUAGCAUGGCAAUAUAAGCAAACGUAGAAGUAACUCCCAAGGGUUUGAUAAUAAAACAGGUAAUAAGUACUACCUCAUCUACUUCCCAAAACCCACAUAUUAAUCAGAUCCUAUUCAUGCAAAUGUUUGAGGAUUUAUCUAAUGCAAUAAAACUGGGUAGUAAGAGGUAUGAUCCAAGUGUUACUUGCCUUGCUGAUGAUCCGUGAAACCUAGAGAUUCGAAGUAGCAAGCGGCACACUCUGGGUACUCUAACGUAAACAAACAAACAAGCAUACAAUAAGUACUCAUCUAAUGCACGGGUAAAACUCAAAUAAGAGAUCUAAUUAGAAACUUCAACUUAAGAACUUCGGUUUGCAAAAAGAAACAAAUCAAACGAAACAACGGAAAGCAAACGGCAAAAAAAACUUGUUUGAGUUGGUUAAACAGAAAGAGGAUUUCGAGACGAAACUCUAGGCGCUUGAAUCGCCUGAUUCAGAUAAACGAGCGAAAAGUUAAACUAAAACGAAAAUCGGAUCAGAAAUCACGAUCAGAAAUAAUCGUGGGAAAAUCCAAGAAAAAUAAAAACGGCGAACAGGCUAACGAACGAACGUUCGCUGUCUGCGGCUAAACGAUGAAUACCAUUCGUAAAAACGAACGAAAAAGCGUUCGUUCGCUAAAUAACUAAACCGACGAAAAUAAACCGAACUGGAUCUAAAAAACGGAUCUAGGUUUUAAAAAACCAAUCGGUUUUCUUUGCGGAAAUCGAGGCAAUGGCGGCUACCUCGGGCGGCUCCGGCGAGACGAAGGCGGCGGCGGCACGGCUCCGGUGCGGCGGCGCGGGGCAGCGGGUGAUGGCGGCGGCUCCNNNNNNNNNNNNNNNNNNNNNNNNNNNNNNNNNNNNNNNNNNNNNNNNNNNNNNNNNNNNNNNNNNNNNNNNNNNNNNNNNNNNNNNNNNNNNNNNNNNNNNNNNNNNNNNNNNNNNNNNNNNNNNNNNNNNNNNNNNNNNNNNNNNNNNNNNNNNNNNNNNNNNNNNNNNNNNNNNNNNNNNNNNNNNNNNNNNNNNNNNNNNNNNNNNNNNNNNNNNNNNNNNNNNNNNNNNNNNNNNNNNNNNNNNNNNNNNNNNNNNNNNNNNNNNNNNNNNNNNNNNNNNNNNNNNNNNAGGGCGGCGGCGGCUAGGGUUUCGGGGCUGUGGCGGCUGCGGUGCGGCUCGGGCCCUCGCGGCUUUAAAGGCCUGCCGGGCCAAGUGUCCUAGUCGGACACGACCCGGUUAGGUCGGUUCGUUGUUUUUUAAAUAAUUUGACAUGCAGAAAAAGAAAGAACAGAAAUACUAAACAGACUCCAAAAAUCCCGAAAUAAAUUUUCCCCGACUUCUAAAAUCAAGCGGGACAAAGUGAACAUUUAUUUGGGGCCUAAAUGCAAUUUUGAAAAACGUGCAUUUUUCCUAAAUUCAAAUAAAAUAGCGAAAAACUCCAAAAUAAAAUCUUAUUUGAUUUUUAUUAAAUCCUCAAUAUUUCUUUAUUUUGGGAAAGUCAUUUUAUUCCCUCUCACUUAUUUUUAUAAUUGAAAUAAUUGAAUAUAAAAUAAAUAAAAACAAAUGAUCCUAUUUUCAAAAUUUGAGAAAACUCAAAUGAAAAUAACGAAAUCCCCAACAUUCCAAAUUGAAAAUAUGAUAUGCCAUGAUGAUCUAAUGUACAACAUUCCAAAUUGAGUUGCGUAGAAUUUCUGGAUCAGGCCCAAAAGCAAUAAAAUAUGAUAUGCCAUGAUGAACUAAUGUACAACAUUCCAAAUUGAAAAUUUGGGAUGUUACAAACCUAACCCCCUUAAGAUGAAUCUCGCCCUCGAGAUUCGGAUUGGCUAGAAAAUAGGUGAGGAUGGUCCUUCAGCAAAUCUUCCUCUCGAUCCCAGGUGGCUUCAUCCUCGGUGUGGUGGCUCCACUGAACUUUACAAAACUUGAUAACUUUUCUGCGGGUUACUCAGCUGGCAUAUUCGAGAAACUUGACUGGUUUCUCCUCAUAGGUCAAAUCACUAUCCAACUGAAUGGCUUCUUGCGGCACUGUAUCUCUCAGCGGUAUAUCAGCCAUCUCUGUGUGGCACUUCUUCAACUGGGAAACAUGGAACACAUCGUGAACUCCUGACAAUCCUUCGGGCAACACCAACUUGUAGGCAACUUCUCCCAUACGUUCCAAAACUUUGUAUGGUCCCACAAAACAUGGCGCUAACUUUCCCUUAACUCCAAAGCGCUUAACUCUCGAAGUGGAGAUACUCGAAGAUACACUCGGUCUCCGACUUCGUAAACUAUCUCCUUGCAUUAAGAAUCUGCAUUGCUCUUCUGCCUGGACUAGGCUACCUUGAGCCUAUCGCAAAUCAAUUUAACUUUUUGUUCAGACUCCUUAAUCAAAUCCGGUCCAAACAACUGGCGGUCUCCAACUUCAUCCCACGACAAUGGGGUCCUGCACCUCCUUCCGUACAAGGCUCCGAAAGGGGCCAUCUUCAAACUGGAUUGAUAACUGCUGCUGUAAGAGAACUCAGCAUAUGGCAAAUUGUCGUCCCAACUAGAUCCAUAAUCUAGCGCACAAGCUCUCAACAUAUCCUCCAAAAUCUGAUUGACUCUCUCGGUCGGUCCAUCUGUCUGUGGGUGAAAAGCUGUACUGAACUCUAGCCUGGUACCCAAAGUUUCGUGCAACUGAUUCCAAAACUUUGAGGUAAACUGGGUUCCUCUAUCGGAUACAAUGCUCCUCGGAACUCCAUGCAGUCAUGUAUAUCUUUGCCAACUUAGCACUGGUGUAAGUGGUCUUUACUGGGAUGAAAUGAGCUACCUUCGUCAAGCGAUCGACUACAACCAUAUCGAGUCAUAGCCUGAACGGGUCCUGGGUAAUCCCAUGAUAAAAUCCAUGCCUAGCUUAUCCCACUUCCAUUCGGGUAUCGGCAAUGGCUGUAGCAAUCCUGCUGGCUUCUGAUGCUCUGCCUUUACUCUCUGACAUACAUCACAAACUGCUACAUACUCUGUAAUAUCCUUCUUCAUUCUUGUCCACCAGAAAGUAUCCUUCAAAUCCAAAUACAUCUUGGUAUUUCCUGGGUGAAUCGAGUAUGGCGAAUCAUGGGCCUCUUGCAAAAUUAACUUCCUGAUCUCUGGGUCAUUAGGCACAUAAAUCUCUGGGUCAUUAGGCACAUAAACACGGUCCUCAAACCAUAAGGUAUCGUACUCAUCCUCACGAAAUCCUUUAGAUGUUCCUUUGCUCAACUUCUCCUUUAUAGAGGUAAUCUCCUUGUCGGUCUUCUAAGCUUCUCUGAUCUUAUCCAUCAAAGUAGACUGAAUCUCCAAUGCUGCAACGUAGCCUCUCGUAACUAUCUCCAAACACAGCUCACGAAGAUCCUCGACUAACUCCUUCGGUAAAUCUCCCGUCAUUAGUGUGUUGACGUGGCUCUUACGGCUCAACGCAUCGGCUACUACGUUAGCCUUUCCAGGGUGAUAAUGCAAUCUCAUAUCAUAAUCCUUGAUAAGCUCCAACCAUCUUCUUUGCCUGAGAUUCAACUCCUUCUGCGUGAAAAUGUACUUCAAACUCUUGUGAUCCGUGUACACCUCACAAUGGUUUCCAAUGAGAAAAUGUCUCCAAGUCUUCAAUGCGUGCACUACGGCUGCUAACUCCAAAUCAUGUGUAGCAUAAUUUAACUCAUGGGGCUUAAGUUGUCGUGAAGCAUACGAAACAACUCUUCCCUCCUGUAUAAGCACUGCUCCAAGUCCUCGACGUGAAGCGUCACAAUACACCUCGUAAUCCUUGCGCUAAUCUGGCAGAAUCAACACUGGCGAGGUAACCAAACGUUUCUUCAACUCCUGGAAACUGGCCUCACAUUCCUCAGUCCAUAUGAACUUGGUAUCCUUCUUCAACAACUCCGUCAUAGGUUUUGCAAUUUUUGAGAAAUUCUCUAUGAAUCUCCGGUAGUAUCCUGCAAGUCCAAGAAAACUCCGGAUCUCUCCAACUGUUGUUGGGGCUUUCCAAUUUGUCACAGUGACAACCUUGGUGGGAUCUACUACUAUUCCUUCUCCGGAUAUAACAUGUCCGAGGAAUCCAACUUCUUUCGACCAAAACUCACAUUUGCUGAACUUAGCGUAUAACUGAUGUACUCUGAGCUUACCAAGUACCAAAUGCAAAUGUUCUUUAUGUUCUUCUUCAUUAUUCGAGUAAACUAGUAUAUCAUCAAUGAACACUAAGAUGAACUUAUCCAAAAACUCCAUAAACACUUUGUUCAUCAUGUUCAUGAAAUAUGUAGGUGCGUUAGUCAGACCAAAGGAUAUAACGGUAUACUCAUACAGCCCGUACCUGGUGGUAAAAGCUGUCUUAGGUAUAUCCUGCUCUCGAAUCUUCAACUGGUGGUAUCCUGAUCGCAAAUCAAUCUUGGAAAAUACCUUUGCUCCUUGCAAUUGGUCAAACAGAUCAUUGAUCAUGGGCAGUGGGUACUUAUUCUUGAUCGUCACUUCAUUCAAUCCUCGAUAAUCAACAACCAUCAUUAAUGAUCCAUCCUUCUUUUCCACUAGAAGUACUGGCGAUCCCCAAGGUGACGAACUUGGGAGAAUAUAUCCCUUAUCCAGUAACUCCUUAAUCUGCUUCUUAAUCUCCUCCAAAUCCUUUGCAGGCAUUCUAUACGGUCUCUUCGAUAUUGGUCCUGUGCCUGGCAAAAUCUCAAUCAAAAACUCAAUGUCCGUAUCUGGUGGCAUGCCUGGCAACUCUUCUGGAAAUACAUUCGGAAAAUCCUUUACCACCGGUACUCCCUACUGUACAACUCCUGUUAAGGAAUUUACUUGAGUCCUAUUCGGCACAUGCCGCGAUACAUACUUGAUCCUUCUUCCUUCUAGGGUGGUAAGCAAAAUCGACUUACUGGCGCAAUCGAUGUUUCCUCCAUACAUCGAUAGCCAAUCCAUACCCAGAAUUACAUCCAAACCUUGUGAUUCCAAAAUGAUUAAAUCCGAGGGGAAAACAUGCCUACCUAUACUCAAUGGCACUUGAAAACAUCCUUUACUGGCCAUAUACUCCGCUCCUGGUGAGCUUACUAACAUAGGUGUUCUAAGAACCUUGGUGGGCAGCUUAUACUUAUCCAUGAAUCCCCUUGAUAUGUAUGAAUGCGAUGCACCAGUAUCAAAAAGAACGAUUGCAGUAAAUGACUUAACCAAAAACUUACCUAUUACUGCAUCUAGCUGGGCUUCAACCUCCUCCAUGUUAACAUGAUUCACCUGUCCCCUGUUGAAAGGGUUCGGCUUCUUCCCUGAGGUUCCAUUGCCAUUUCCAUUCUGGGCUUCAGGACAUUCAUUGGCGUAAUGUCCAGUCUUCUGGCAUUUAUAGCAAGUGACUUGGCGCACGUCUCUCUUGGCUGGUGUUGAUGGGUUGGUACGGUUCUGGCCGUUGCUUCCUCCAUUCCCAUUACCAUUCUUGGGGCCAUUCUGAUUGUGCGAGCUACCUCCUCCAUGGGUAUGCUGGAAAUGUCCUGCCGAUUUUGAGGUAAAACGUGGCUUCUGAUGAGCUCCAGAAUUGUACUUCCCUUGUCCAUACUUCCUCUUGCGGUUCUCAAUCUGUUGCUGCUUCCCUUCAAUCAUAAGAGCACGAUCUACCAACUCCUGGUAGUUGUUGAAAGUUGCUACCAUCAACUGCAUGCUCAACUCAUCAUUCAAACCUUCCAGAAACUUCUCCUGCUUAGUUGCAUCCGUAGCAACGUCAUCUAGGGCAUAACAUGAUAGCUUACUAAAGUCAUCCACAUACUGGCCAAAGGUCCGUCCUCCUUGGCGCAAGUUGUGAAACUCACGCUUCUUCAAGGCCAUAGCUCCUGUUGAAACAUGGGCAGUACGGAAAGCUUGCUGAAAUUGGUCCCAUGUCACCGUGGCUAUAGGGUAGGUGAUAGUGUAAUUCUCCCACCAUGAUGCUGCUGGUCCAUCCAACUGAUGUGCGGCAAAGCACACCUUCUCAACAUCAGUACAUCCUGUAGUGGUUGACUCCCUUCCAAUCUCGCGGAGCCAAUCAUCUGCUACUAUAGGCUCGGUGCUACUAGAGAACACCGACGGAUUCAGCCUAAGAAAACGGGUUAAGUGAUCAACAGGUGGUGGCGGUGGUGGGUUGUUGUUGUUGGUCCCCUGAUUUUUAUUCUGGACUAGCAACUUCAUCAACAUAUUCUACUGCUGGAUCUACUGAGUGAGCUCCGAUGGAAAUGCAAAUCCAUUGUCACGUCUCGGAGGCAUCUGAUAGGUUUAGAAAAGAUGAGAAUAUAAGAUAGAAUGAGGUCUAGAGAGAAAACACUACCCAUAUGCACAUGAGGCAAAUGCAAACAAAAUCACUUCAUUCAAUCAAAUAAGGGCAUACAACGGUCUAUCUAUCGUUACAAAAGUGCUCGAGCUAUACUAGAUACAUGGGAGAAUACUACUACUGAUAUGGUGGUCGACUAGAAAAACUGCUCCGAUGAAGACUCCAUGAUAUCUGCUCCAGCCUCAUCAACAUAGUCAUCAUCGCUAUCGUCUAGGUCCGAGUCGGUGUUGUCGAUGAUGAUGUAGUUCUCUGGACAAGUGCAAUCAUCUUCUCCUCCAGUUGCGGGAAAUCCCAUGAACAGUUUUAGCUUCUUCUUCAGAUCAUCAUUCUUCUCCACUAGUGUUGCUAUUUCCUCCACAUAUCCAUCGCGUGUAGACUUGAGUUCUUCCUCCAGCUCCGUGAUCUUGGUCAUGGCCUUUUUCAGGUCUAUCAUGCCUGCGCACAUCUGGUUCUCCUGGCGUUGAAUGUGCUGGUUUAACUCCUGGAUGAAAGCUGCAAUUGAUCUAUCCUUCCUGGUGCUGGUCAUCUCCCGUUGCUCAUCUCGGCGCCCACAAAUAUGGUAGAUAGUAUCCUUGAGAUCCUUGUGGUAAAUUUCUCCAAUGCGCCCCAUAGUGAUGUGGGCUGUCAUGCUCUUUCCUAGACUCCAGGUUGGUGCAUCAAAGGAAAACUCUAUGGGCUCAAUGACAGGCAUGAACGUCCUUCUUGGAACUUGAACUUGAAUCAUCCAGCGUUCCUCUUCAGGUAAAGUGGCGUUGUAGGUCCCGGUGAAGCUUGGUACUCCGAUGUUCAGGUAUCUAGUGACUUCCUUCAAGUGACGUCCAAAGGGUGUAUCUUCAUCCGGUUGCGUGAACUUGUUCCUUGCAUCCGCCAUCCUAAAAGAGUAGAAUAGAUGAGGAGUCAGAAAUGAGAAGAGUGAGUAGUGAUCUAGGGCUUUUAGCUUAGUGGUCGUGUCCUACAGUCAGCAUGUGCUCUGAUACCAUCUUGUAGCGACCAGACCUCAAACAGUCCGAUCUCUGUGCUUCAGUGUCAUCCCUGGAUCAGUAAUGCUGACAUGCACAGUACUUGAAGGAUUUAUAACAGAGUAGCAAUCACACACUUAUUACAUCGAAUGUCUCAAAAGAGAACUUAUUACAAUAAAUAUGGCUUAAGGCCAUCUAAUAACGAUAACAGCGGAAGGCUUGGAAGAUAAGUGAGUCCAUCAACUCCAACAUCAUCACUGAGUAUAGAACCACGACCUAAAGGCACCUUACUCGUCGUCUGAAAAGUCUGCAACAUGAACGUUGCAGCCCGAAAACGGGUCAGCACAUGGAAUAUGCUGGCAACUAACACAUAGAGAAUAGUGAACAGAAUAGGCUAUACUACAUGCAUAUAUGGCUGGUGGAAAGCACUAUGGUUAUAGUUUUGCGUAAAGCCAGUUUUUCCCUACUACAAAGGAAUACAUUUUAUUUAACUAUCAUGGUGGUUGUUAAACAUUGAGAGUGUAGACGCCCUCUCAAUCCCAAUUAAACAUCAACAUUAAAACCCAACAAAAUUAAUUAAAGUCACACGAUGAGAUUCACAUGAUAAUCCAAGUACUAGAUACUCAAAACUAUCCAUAACCGAGGACACAUCUAACCAUGAUUAGUUUAUACACUCUGCAAAGGUUUGCGCACUUUUCCCCACAAGACUCGAUCUCCUCCGUUGGGAUUCUCGCACUACAUGGUGUUUGAGAAAACGGAUGAACGAGAGAUAGUCUUUCAGAAGCGCUAGCACCUUACGAUCGGGAAGACCGUUACACCUACUUUCCCCUACAUCUGCUAGUCUACCACUAUAAGAGUUCGCACGACUUAAUCAACUAUGCUAGAUCCCAUAGUAGCUUGUGGCUGCACAUGGAAGUUUCUAGAAUGAAUAAUCUCACGAUCCCUUUGAGCCUGGGUGGCGGUCCAUAAAGAAAAACAGGCAAUCGCUGGAAUACCCAGGUGCCUCAAUCCACCCAGAAGUGUAUUUAAGUUGCCACCUUAAGUUGAACCAUUAAUUAACAAUCUCACAUAUGUCAUGGAUACACUCAAACCCAAUCCAUGUCUACAAGCAUAGCAUGGCAAUAUAAGAAAACGUAGAAGUAACUCCCAAGGGUUUGAUUAUAAAAUAGGUAAUAGGUACUACCUCAUAUACUUCCCAAAACCCACAUAUUAACCAGAUCCUAUUCAUGCAAAUGUUUGUGGAUUGAUCUAAUGCAAUAAAACAGGGUAGUGAGAGGUAUGAUCCAAGUGUUACUUGCCUUGCUGAUGAUCCACGAAACCUAGAAAUUCGAAGUAGCAAGCGGCGCACUCCGGGUACUCUAACGCAAACAAACAAACAAGCAUACAAUAAGUACUGAUCUAAUGCACAGGUAAAACUCAAAUAAGAUAUCUAACCAGAUAUUUCAACUUAUGAACUCUGGUUUGGAAAAAGAAACAAAUCAAACGAAACGACGGAAAGCAAACGGCGAAAGAAACAAGCUUCAUUUACUAAUCUGGAUCUAAGUCAAAUUUUACAGAAGCAAAAACUUGUUUGAGUUAGUUAAACGGAAAGAGGGUUUCGAGACGAAACUCUAGGCGCUUGAAUCGCCCGAUUCCGAUAAACGAACGAAAAGUUAAACUAAAAAUAAAAAUCGGAUUAGAAAUCGCGAUCAGAAAUAAUCACGGGAAAAUCCGAGAAAAAGAAAAAUGGCGAACAGGCUAACGAACGAACGUUCGCUGUCUGCGGCUAAACGACGAAUACUGUUCAUUAAAACGAACGAAAAAGUGGUAGUUCGCUAAAUAACUAAACCGACAAAAAUAAACCGAACCGGAUCUAAAAAAAUAGAUCAAGGUUUUCAAAAAAAACGAUCGGUUUUCUUUGCGAAAACCGAGGCAACGGCGGCAACCUCGGGCGGCUCCGGUGCGGCGGCGCGGGGCGGCGGGUGGCGGNNNNNNNNNNNNNNNNNNNNNNNNNNNNNNNNNNNNNNNNNNNNNNNNNNNNNNNNNNNNNNNNNNNNNNNNNNNNNNNNNNNNNNNNNNNNNNNNNNNNNNNNNNNNNNNNNNNNNNNNNNNNNNNNNNNNNNNNNNNNNNNNNNNNNNNNNNNNNNNNNNNNNNNNNNNNNNNNNNNNNNNNNNNNNNNNNNNNNNNNNNNNNNNNNNNNNNNNNNNNNNNNNNNNNNNNNNNNNNNNNNNNNNNNNNNNNNNNNNNNNNNNNNNNNNNNNNNNNNNNNNNNNNNNNNNNNNNNNNNNNNNNNNNNNNNNNNNNNNNNNNNNNNNNNNNNNNNNNNNNNNNNNNNGGGGCGGCUGCGGUGCGGCUCGGGCCCUCGCAGCUUUAAAUCCCGGCCGGGCCAACUGUCCUAGUCGGACACGGCCCGGUUAGGUCGGUCCGUUUUUUAAAUAAUUUGACGUGCAGAAAAAGAAAGAAAAGAAAUACUAAAUGGACCCCAAAAAUCCCGAAAUAAUUUUUCACCAACUUCUAAAAUCAAGCCGGACAAAGUAAACAUUUAUUUGGGGCAUAAAUACAAUUUUGUAAAACGCGCAUUUUUCCUAAAUUCAAAUAAAACAGCGAAAAACUCCAAAAUAAAAUCCUCAAUAUUUCUUUAUUUUUGGAAAGUCAUUUUAUUCCCUCUCACUUAUUUUUAUAAUUGAAAUAAUUGAAGAUAAAAUAAAUAAAAUCAAAUGAUCCUAUUUUCAAAACUGGAGAAAACUCAAAUAUGAAAAUAAUGAAAUCCCCAACUCUCUCCGUGGGUCCUUGAGUUGCGUAGAAUUUUUGGAUCAGGCCCAAAAGCAAUAAAAUAUGAUAUGCAAUGAUGAUCUAAUGUAUAACAUUCCAAAUUGAAAAAUUUGGGAUGUUACAUCACGCCAGCGCGACGACACACGAGUCACCGCGGCCGCGCUCACCCCUCGGCAUGCCGCGGCUAUAUAUAGGCCUCCCCCGAGCCGUUCAAGCACACCAGCAGCCUCACUACUCUCCCCUAGACCUUUCCGACCAGUCAACCGAGCCGGAGAGCCUCUCCUGCCCCUCCCAUGGCCGAAGCCUCGCCGCCGGCCUCUGCUUAAAUUCGGCCGAACCGAGCACUCCCUCAUCAUUCUGUCGCCACCAGAGGCCUCUCCACUACCCCCUAGCCUCCCCAUCCCCUCGCCUAGUCGCCGGAGUAGGCAUGGCCGCACUUCCCCCAGGAUCGGCCGCCGCCCGGUUCUCUGUUGCCACGGCCACCUCGUGCUCCAUCCCUCCCUGGCGCCCGCAGCGUGCCCAGAUGGAUGUGCCGCUCCUCGCUGGUCUCGUCGGUGGCCUUGGCAUAGCCGGGGACUGCCGGAGCUGUCGGGGCAGUCGCCGGCGUCGCCUCUCCCCUGUCCCUCCUCUGCUUCGGUCGGGCCAGCGGGAGGAAAAAGGAGACAGGAGCCAGGCGGGCCCCGCUCCUCCUCCCUGACCCCACCCGUCAGCCGCACCCACCCGGUCCCGCCUCUGCGCGUUGACCUGGUCGGUCGACGUGGAUAAGUGACAGGCCCCGCCCCGUGGGACCCGCACGUCAGUGACCCAUGCCCAGCCCCGCCACUAUCCACGUGGUUAAGUGGAAACGCAUUUCCCAGAGUACAUUUUCUUCCGACAAAAGCGUAUUCUUCCUUUCUUUUAUCUAAACUAUGUUUUCCCUUCUGGAAAGCGUAUUACUCUCUUCUGCGGCUAAAAAGGCGUUUUCUGUUACAGAAAACGUAUUCAACCCGAAGGCGCUUUCUGUUUUUCUGUCCAGGCCCAGAUUUUGAAGUUUUUCAUUACAUAUGGGUCCCUCGCAGAAAACACCUCAUAUCUUUUUAACCACAACUCCAAAUGAGGUGAUUCCAAAGCCCACUUCUUCGUUUCAUCAAACCCGUUCUGAUGGAACCAUUUUCACCAUGUUUUGACAUUCUAAAAAUGACCAUUUUGCCCCUGCCCUUAUUCAGCCCCCUCCGAGAGAGUAUGUUUUCUGGCGAUCCUUUCCGCGAGUUUCUCGCACUUCCUCCCGGUGAUUUCUUCCACCGCAGGCAAGCCACACCCUCCAUUUGCAUGAUUGCAAUGCAGUGACAUGGUUUAAAUUAUGUAAACUCAUUUAAAAUAUUGCUUUAGCUACAUGACUUUGUGCAUGGCAAUUUCUUAGAGUUGUAUUUUGAUCUUGUUAUUGCCAUGAUGUUGCUUGGAGUUCUAGGACUUUUAUUUUGCAGCUUAUGUGGUUGACAUGUUGCCAUUGGAUUAUUAGUGGCUUAUGUUAUGAUGGUGGUGUUGGGUAUGAUAUUUUUGGAGUAUUUGCUUUGGAUGUCAUACUACCUUUGGAUUAUUAGUGGUUAGUAUGAUUAUUUUCAUGAUGGUACCUGUCAUUAUAUUUUGGAGUAUUACUUUGGAUAUCAUACUGCCUUUGGAUUGUUAGUGGUUAGUAUUAUUAUUUUCAUGAUGGUACCUGUCAUUAUAUUUUGGAGUAUUACUUUGGAUAUCAUGCUGCCUUUGGAUUAUUAGUGGUUAGUAUGAUUAUUUUCAUGAUGCUAGUUGAUGUUCUGUUACUUGGAGUAUUAUUUUUGGAGAUGAUGUUUACAUAUGGAUCUUAGCCGAAUAGCUUUAUUCUUGUUAUUGGAGUAGUAGGAGUAUUGUUUUCGGAUUCAUCAUGACAGUAGUGUUGUGCUAUCCUUGGAGUAUUUUGAGAUGAUGAUAUUAUGCUUGGAUUAUUUGUUGGAUAUUGCUAUGAUUUGGAUUAUAGUUUUAUAGUUGAUAUUGGAGUAGCAGUUACCAUAGCUAUAUUCUUGGGGAUAGAUUCCGUCACUAAGUUGGUCAGGUGCUGCCGAUCCGGGCUUUUCCAGUGCAACCACAUUUUCCUUUAUGGGAAGGCCCUAAUGCGGUCUAUUAUCGUGCCUCUCGCCGGUGCCUCCAACUAGGGAAGGUUACGGGCGUGCGUACCCUGGCCCGGUAAGCAGACAUAACCUUGUGUGCCCGUAGUUGGAUUUUGCGCGCGUGUCCCUGAGCGGGAGUGUCCCCGAGUGGGAGUGUUUUAACCAUGACGGUGGUCGGGGUGUCUUUGGUAGACACGGGGCCACCUAGGACUAGCCCAGUUGGGAGUGGGUCGGAGUGGCCGGGAGAGCGUCAUGGCAGUAGACCAGUUUUGUCGGAACGCCGUUGGUCCACCCGAAUGGGAGUACGAGGCCAUGGGUUCUGUGGUGUGGGUACAGUGUGCUACCUCUGCAGAGUGUAUUUAAUCUAUCGAUAGUAGCGUCCGUACUAGGUCCCACGGUUCAAUCAACACUCACAUGACGGAAUAACUUAUAGGUGAUUUAUAGUUGAUAUGUUGAGCAGUACAGAUUGGCAGGAUGUUGAUGAUGAGGUUGGAUACCAAGUGUUGGUCAUGGUUGUGAUCGCCGGAAAGAUCAUAGUUUGAGACCAAGCGUUGGUCAUGGUAGUGAUCGCCGGAAAGAUCAUCGUAUGGUUUCGAUCAUGAGUAGAUCGAGAGGGUAUAUUGCUUGGCGGUUAGCCAAGAGAGAUAUGGUUAUGGAGAUCUGAGAUGGUGAUGUAUCAACAUUGUAUUAGUUUAUCUCAUGCUUAGUAGUUGCUUCAUCAUGGUAGUUGCUAAUUAAUUAACCUGUUGAUGCUAUGUUAUUGUCUUUCCCUGAUGUUUAUGGUUGUUGUGAGCUUGCAAGUACAUUCAAUAUACUAACCUGGCGUGUCAUGCUAGAUUGCAGGUGAUGCCGUGAUUGCUUGAUUGCUUGUCGUGGUUUCCGCUCAUGCGAGCUAGAUCGUGUCCCGGCCAGAGUCCCUGUGGAGUGGAGUUCACCACCUUCGUCAUUGUUCCGCUGUUACGAGAUGUUCCGCUGCUAGCAUAGAGCAAGUGUAGUAUCGCAGGCGUAGUGUCGCCAUGCCGAUGUGAU
Molecule: long non-coding RNA, 28471 nt
Filed under: Triticum aestivum (bread wheat)
Lineage: Eukaryota; Viridiplantae; Streptophyta; Magnoliopsida; Poales; Poaceae
Description: long non-coding RNA (TAES_LNC026000)
Source: RNAcentral